Molecule: ribosomal RNA, 500 nt
Filed under: uncultured bacterium
Lineage: Bacteria
Description: partial 16S ribosomal RNA
Rfam family: Bacterial small subunit ribosomal RNA
Source: RNAcentral
AUUGAACGCCGGCGGCAUGCCUUACACAUGCAAGUCGAACGGCAGCACGGGAGCAAUCCUGGUGGCGAGUGGCGAACGGGUGAGUAAAGUAUCGGAACGUGCCCAGUCGUGGGGGAUAACGUAGCGAAAGUUACGCUAAUACCGCAUACGAUCUAUGGAUGAAAGCGGGGGAUCGCAAGACCUCGCGCGAUUGGAGCGGCCGAUAUCAGAUUAGGUAGUUGGGGGGGUAAAGGCUCACCAAGCCGACGAUCUGUAGCUGGUCUGAGAGGACGACCAGCCACACUGGGACUGAGACACGGCCCAGACUCCUACGGGAGGCAGCAGUGGGGAAUUUUGGACAAUGGGCGCAAGCCUGAUCCAGCCAUGCCGCGUGCAGGAUGAAGGCCUUCGGGUUGUAAACUGCUUUUGUACGGAACGAAACGGCGAGCUCUAAUACAGUUUGCUAAUGACGGUACCGUAAGAAUAAGCACCGGCUAACUACGUGCCAGCAGCCGCCGUAA